RNAcentral lists this ribosomal RNA (235 nucleotides) under uncultured bacterium. RNAcentral describes it as "partial 16S ribosomal RNA". It matches the Rfam family "Bacterial small subunit ribosomal RNA", at positions 89 to 339 of the family's 1533-position model. The record is from RNAcentral.
GGCUCAGUGGCGGACGGGUGAGUAACACGUAGGAACCUGCCCAGAAGUGGGGGAUAACUCCUCGAAAGAGGGGCUAAUACCGCAUACGGUCUACGGACCAAAGCAGCAAUGCGCUACUGGAGGGGCCUGCGUAAGAUUAGCUAGUUGGUAGGGUAAAGGCCUACCAAGGCGACGAUCUUUAGCUGGUCUGAGAGGAUGAUCAGCCACACUGGAACUGAGACACGGUCCAGACUCC